UUAUCUUGCUUGGGUGCUCCAAAGUCUGAGAAGUCAAAAAAUGUUGUAAUGCUCCCCCGACGCCCCCAUUUGAUUGAUUUCCUGAAAGCUUCAUAUGUUGGGUUGUCCAGAUAUCUUUCUUUUGGAAGAAGGCCUGAAUUUCAAUCUACAAGCAGCUUCCCUAUCAGUAAGUGAUGUUGACUUCCCAAGUGCCUGAAUAAUGAAUGUGGCAAUAGGCAUGGAUAUCCUGUUUUAGAUGCUACUAAGAAAAUGAUUUUAUGAUCUUUCAUUUUUUAUAUAUUUAAUAUAUUAUUUUGAGCCAUUCUAUGAAAGAAAAUCCUUUAAAAUUCUUUAUUAGUAUUUAAACUAUCUGUUGAUUUGUUACAAAGUAUUAUGAAUAAUUUGAUCGUAGCUAAAUAAUUAUUUUGUAUUAUUAUUCACGGUUACGCAUAUCAGCAAAGCAAAUUCAUUCAAGUAGGAUUUGAUUUGGGGUGAUAGGUUGUGUUUAAUUUGAUAAUUUAGGUAGACAUAAAUAUCUAUGUCCUAUCACUGAGCUUUUUUGAUUUUGUUGACAGACUGAAGAAGUUUUUACACGGGGCCUGGAAAUAGUAUUCCAUAAAAAAUGAAUUUGGAGAUCCAUUAGU
Molecule: unclassified non-coding RNA, 623 nt
Filed under: Hevea brasiliensis (rubber tree)
Lineage: Eukaryota; Viridiplantae; Streptophyta; Magnoliopsida; Malpighiales; Euphorbiaceae
Source: RNAcentral